UACGGAGGAUGCGAGCGUUAUCCGGAUUUAUUGGGUUUAAAGGGUGCGCAGGCGGCACGGCAAGCCGGCGGUCAAAUCGCGGGGCUCAACCCCGCCCAGCCGUCGGAACUGCCGGGCUAGAGUGGGCGAGAAGUGCGCGGAAUGCGUGGUGUAGCGGUGAAAUGCACAGAUAUCACGUAGAACUCCGAUUGCGAAGGCAGCGCACCGGCGCCCUACUGACGCUCAGGCACGAAAGCGUGGGUAUCGAACAGG
RNAcentral lists this ribosomal RNA (252 nucleotides) under uncultured bacterium. RNAcentral's name for it is "partial 16S ribosomal RNA". It matches the Rfam family "Bacterial small subunit ribosomal RNA", at positions 524 to 776 of the family's 1533-position model. The record is from RNAcentral.